AGAGCGAACGCUGGCGGCAGGCUUAACACAUGCAAGUCGAGCGGGCGUAGCAAUACGUCAGCGGCAGACGGGUGAGUAACGCGUGGGAACGUACCUUUUGGUUCGGAACAACACAGGGAAACUUGUGCUAAUACCGGAUAAGCCCUUACGGGGAAAGAUUUAUCGCCGAAAGAUCGGCCCGCGUCUGAUUAGCUAGUUGGUGAGGUAAUGGCUCACCAAGGCGACGAUCAGUAGCUGGUCUGAGAGGAUGAUCAGCCACAUUGGGACUGAGACACGGCCCAAACUCCUACGGGAGGCAGCAGUGGGGAAUAUUGGACAAUGGGCGCAAGCCUGAUCCAGCCAUGCCGCGUGAGUGAUGAAGGCCCUAGGGUUGUAAAGCUCUUUUGUGCGGGAAGAUAAUGACGGUACCGCAAGAAUAAGCCCCGGCUAACUUCGCGCCAGCAGCCGC
Molecule: ribosomal RNA, 448 nt
Filed under: uncultured bacterium
Lineage: Bacteria
Description: SSU rRNA
Rfam family: Bacterial small subunit ribosomal RNA
Source: RNAcentral